GGAAUUGUGGCUCAGUGGUAAAGCGCUCACCUAGCAUGUGUGGGAUGCUGGGUUCAAUCCUUAGCACCA
This 69-nucleotide transfer RNA is filed under the name Marmota monax (woodchuck). RNAcentral describes it as "tRNA.Ala". Lineage: Eukaryota; Metazoa; Chordata; Mammalia; Rodentia; Sciuridae. The record is from RNAcentral.